Molecule: long non-coding RNA, 1350 nt
Filed under: Homo sapiens (human)
Lineage: Eukaryota; Metazoa; Chordata; Mammalia; Primates; Hominidae
Description: MEF2C antisense RNA 1
Source: RNAcentral
GGAGUGUUUCUAGAGCUCGGAGGCUGCUGGUAGGGGGUGAGUGCGCCACGUGCGUGCGCCACGGGCGAGCAGGAGGCAGGCUCUGGGCCCUCCUGGGGACCUGCUGGACCUGCUGGACCUGGGUGCGACGAGUGGGCGGCCACGCUGGUUUGGCGCGGGGAAGGAAGGGGGUGUGCCGACUUGUAUUUAGUUGGGGGUUGUGGAAGUCACGGCUGGGGGAAAAGCGUCCGGUGGUUUGUUGGUAAAGAGGGGCACCACUUUCAGAUAAAAACAUAGACCUGAAUGGCAUCAUCCAGUAUCCAAGGAAACCAUGCUUGCUUGAAGAGUGAGCAGGUGAGCAAAGAGACAAGAUUACAUGUUUAAACCAAGAAAAGAAUCUUGAAAAUUUUUUACAGACAAUGGGAAGCACUGACACCUUUAAGAGGGAUGUGUAAUACACUCGCUAAUGUUUCCUGUUGUGUUUCUGAAAACCUGUGUCAGAAAAUAUACUGUCUCGAACUGGAAAGAUGUGAGAUUCUUAAUUUUAAAGAGCUCCAUUAAUAUUGUGUGUCUGUAACCAGCUAAUGAGCUGCAACAGAGCCUGGCCUUCAUUUUCAGCAAAUUAAGUUCAUCCCUCAUAGGAAUUGUGGUCUGGCUGUGGCACCGCUCCUAGGAAACCAGAAUACAUUAGGGAGGAGACAGCAAAGGAAAACAAAAGACAAUAAAGGAAUCGAUGUAUUUGUUUUGUAACUCAAAGUUAAAGUCCAAAUUUAGAAAAUAGAUUUGAAAGCAUAACGGGUCAAUUUCUGUUGUGCCUCUGAAGAAGAAAGUUGAGAAAGAACGAAGAGGGCUUAGAUGCUGGUGGGUGUCUGCAAAAAAGCCCAGACAAUGCCUGGAAUAAUAAAGAAGCAGAGAACUUCCAGGGAGGAAGGGAACAGUCUCUAAGAUGGAGCAGGACCUGGGGAAGUCUUGCUUCUCCACUGAAGAACAUGGACCAAGACCAGGGCAGAAGGGAUGGCAGCUUCCCCGUAGAGCAGUGAGGACGGAUGACGACAUGAAGACUGGACUGCUCAUUCUCACCUUCCCUUCACAGUCCCUGGCACUUUUUAAGCUCCUUGGAAAUUAGAGGCAAUCUAGGAGAAAGGGGGAUAGAAGCAGACCUUAUUUCUGUUACAAUGUGAAUGGGAGCUUCAAAUUGAAGAUAAAAUGUUAUGGAAAAAGUGAAAUUAUAUAUAUAUUUUGCACAUCGUAGCUUGGUGGCUUUAGGUUUCUGUGCAUCAAAGGAAGGAAUUGUGUCUUCCUCAUUGUCAUACUCUGGUAUUGGAGAUUGUGCAACAUAUAUAGUAGGUAUGCAAUAAACAGCUGUUAACA